Molecule: long non-coding RNA, 247 nt
Organism: Orcinus orca (killer whale)
Lineage: Eukaryota; Metazoa; Chordata; Mammalia; Artiodactyla; Delphinidae
Exons: 3
Source: RefSeq, a predicted model, not a curated record
AGACAGGGCUGUGUGUCCAGCCAACUCUGGGACAGAGGCAAGCUGAGGCCGGCCGCUGGCCAUGGUUACAGUGUCCCAGCCUCCACCCCAACCCAGCCCCCGUACCCUCUCCCAGAAGCACACGGGCCUGCGAACCGGACUUCCUCUGUCGGUGGGAUGGGGCCGAGGCCACCUGGCGACAGGACUUCUGCACACAGCACAGGCUGAGGAGGGACGAGACCUAGGUCUAGGGUACCUGACGACUGGG